AUGCCAGACCUGCCUGAAAUCCUUCUUCCUGAAAGCUCAGACACCUGUCAACCCCUAGGAUGCCAGACCUGGUUCCUGGAAGAGAAAGCCCCAAGCAAGUCCCACCCUUCUCCUUCCCAUCGCAGCUCUGUCCUAGAGCUCAAGCCAGGGGUCCAAGCUCUGUCUUCCCACCUCCUGCAGAGCAACCGCUACUUGGCCAUCCUUUGUCUUAGACAUCCACCCAGCCAAUGGAUCUGGGGUCAAGGUCCUGGGAGCCGGCUUGCAGCUGUUGAGACAGGAAAUCCAAAGGCCCAGCUCCCAGGCCACACUCACCUUUGUCCUGAGGAAUCACUUUCCAUUUCAUCCUGGAACAAGAAGGCGCUCCAAAGAGCAGAGAGAAGUCUCCAUCCACGGAAAAGGAACAGCUGCUCUGUAAAUUGUUCCAGGGCAAUUCUUAACUCUUGCGAGUUAGCAUGAGUUGGCCCCUUUGAGACCAGGUACCCUGGAGUAUCUUUGAUCCUCUUGCCCUAGACUUUAAAAAAAAAAAAAAUUAUUGGGGUAUAGUUGAUUUACAAUGUUGUGUUAGUUUCUGCUGUACAUCAGAGUGAAUCAGUUAUACGUAUACAUAUAUCCCCUCUUUUCUAGAUUCUUUCCUCAUAUAGGUCAUCACAGAGUAUUGAGUAGACAGAGUUCCCUGUGCUACACAGUAGGUCCUUAACUAUCUAUUUUAUAUACAGUGUGUAUAUGUCAAUCCCAAUCUCCCAGUUGAUCCUUCCUCCCUUCCCCCUUGGUAACCAUAAGUUUGUUUUAUGCAUCUGUGACUCUUUUUCUGUUUUAUAAAUAGGUUCAUUUGUACCAUUUUUUUUUUAGAUUCUACAUACAAGCAAUGUCAUAGAAUAUUUGGCUUUCUCUGUCUGACUUACUUCACUUGGUAUGACAAUCUCUCUCAUGUUGCUGCAAAUGGCAUUAUUUUGGUCUUCUUAAUGGCCGAGUAAUAUUCCAUUGCAUACCUUAGGGUGGCCAAGAGGUUCAUUCAGGUUUUCCCCUAACAUGUUAUGGAAACACCCAAAUGAACUUUUUGGUCAGCCCAGUAUAUACACAUCUUCAUUAUCUACUCCGCCAUGGAUGACACUUAGGUUUGUUUCCAUGUCCUAGCUACUGUAAACAGUGCCGCAAUGAGCACCGUGGUGCACGCCCCUAGACUUUUGCCUUAGACUUGUAACAGGACCACUAUUGGCUUUUGUGGGAUGAGCCUUCCUGUGUGGGAUUGUCCUACUCAUUGCAGGAUGUUUCGAUGAGCCCUGGUCCAGACCCACGGAUUCUUGAGAGCUAGGAGCAGCUCUUAGUCAUGAAGACGACGAAAGCCCCCUUUCCCAUGUGCAACAAAGCCUUUCUGGCUGGGAACCAUGGCUCACAUAGCCCAUCGGGAGACGCAGGCAUGAGAAUAGACAGAUACAACAGACCAGACAGGAAAGGAGGCAGAUAAACCAUCCUGGGGGGCGGCCAGGACAGUUUAUGAUAAACCUGACAUACUUCUGCAAAUUGACACAAUCAUCAAAAGUGGCAUUUGAUUCUUUUCUUUCCAUAAGAGAAGUGAAGACACCUUUGAACCCAGCUGCC
Capra hircus (goat) is the source of this 1599-nucleotide long non-coding RNA. Lineage: Eukaryota; Metazoa; Chordata; Mammalia; Artiodactyla; Bovidae. The record is from Ensembl.